CCGGAAGUGAUCAGCAUAAACUGCAAAAUAUAGUUUAAAAUCACAGUUUUUGGUUGAAUAAUACUUGAACUGGAGAUUUAAAGUAAAAUGCGAAGUCGUUUUACUUAUAUUAGGGAAUGUUGGGCAUAUAAAACGGACUUAGCCGCUGACUACAAAAGCGGGAGCAAAAUGUCCCAUAUUUCUGGUAAUGUUUUGAGAAGUCAGCAUGU
Non-coding RNA from Paramuricea clavata, 209 nucleotides. The record is from the annotation of a GenBank genome assembly. NCBI's taxonomy places the organism in Eukaryota, Metazoa, Cnidaria, Anthozoa, Malacalcyonacea, Plexauridae.